UGGGGAAUAUUGCACAAUGGGCGCAAGCCUGAUGCAGCCAUGCCGCGUGUAUGAAGAAGGCCUUCGGGUUGUAAAGUACUUUCAGCGGGGAGGAAGGGAGUAAAGUUAAUACCUUUGCUCAUUGACGUUACCCGCAGAAAAAGCACCGGCUAACUCCGUGCCAGCAGCCGCGGUAAUACGGAGGGUGCAAGCGUUAAUCGGAAUUACUGGGCGUAAAGCGCACGCAGGCGGUUUGUUAAGUCAGAUGUGAAAUCCCCGGGCUCAACCUGGGAACUGCAUCUGAUACUGGCAAGCUUGAGUCUCGUAGAGGGGGGUAGAAUUCCAGGUGUAGCGGUGAAAUGCGUAGAGAUCUGGAGGAAUACCGGUGGCGAAGGCGGCCCCCUGGACGAAGACUGACGCUCAGGUGCGAAAGCGUGGGGCAGCAAACAGGAUUAGAUACCCUGGUAGUCCACGCCGUAAACGAUGUCGACUUGGAGGUUGUGCCCUUGAGGCGUGGCUUCCGGAGCUAACGCGUUAAGUCGACCGCCUGGGGAGUACGGCCGCAAGGUU
RNAcentral lists this ribosomal RNA (549 nucleotides) under uncultured bacterium. RNAcentral describes it as "partial 16S ribosomal RNA". It matches the Rfam family "Bacterial small subunit ribosomal RNA", at positions 355 to 895 of the family's 1533-position model. The record is from RNAcentral.